AUUGAACGCUGGCGGAAUGCUUUACACAUGCAAGUCGAACGGCAGCACGGACUUCGGUCUGGUGGCGAGUGGCGAACGGGUGAGUAAUGUAUCGGAACGUGCCCAGUCGUGGGGGAUAACGUAGUGAAAAUUACGCUAAUACCGCAUACGAUCUAUGGAUGAAAGCGGGGGAUCGCAAGACCUCGCGCGAUUGGAGCGGCCGAGAUCAGAUUAGGUAGUUGGUGGGGUAAAGGCCCACCAAGCCAACGAUCAGUAGCUGGUCUGAGAGGACGACCAGCCACACUGGAAAUGAGACACUGUCCAGACUCCUACGGGAGGCGGCAGUGGGGAAUUUUGGACAAUGGGCGAAAGCCUGAUCCAGCCAUUCCGCGUGCAGAAUGAAGGCCCUCGGGUUGUAAACUGCUUUUGUACAGAACGAAAAGGUUUCUACUAAUACUAGGAGCUCAUGACGGUACUGUAAGAAUAAGCACCGGCUAACUACGUGCCAGCAGCCGCCGUAA
This 500-nucleotide ribosomal RNA is filed under the name uncultured bacterium. RNAcentral's name for it is "partial 16S ribosomal RNA". It matches the Rfam family "Bacterial small subunit ribosomal RNA", at positions 30 to 523 of the family's 1533-position model. The record is from RNAcentral.